CCAACUUCAAGAUAAGAUUUCCCACCGCAAGGGUAAGACCCCAGAAAGACUAUCUGGUUGAUAGGUCGAAGGUGUAAGUGCAGCAAUGUAUUUAGCUUAUCGAUACUAAUAGGUCGAGGACUUGACCAA
RNAcentral lists this ribosomal RNA (129 nucleotides) under Clostridioides difficile. RNAcentral's name for it is "partial 23S ribosomal RNA". It matches the Rfam family "Bacterial large subunit ribosomal RNA", at positions 2793 to 2925 of the family's 2925-position model. Lineage: Bacteria; Bacillati; Bacillota; Clostridia; Peptostreptococcales; Peptostreptococcaceae. The record is from RNAcentral.